GCAAGUCGAGGGGUAACAUAGGUGCAUGUACUUGAUUUCGAUCACGGACCGGGUGCGUAACGCGUAUAGAAACUGCCUUUUACAGGAGGAUAACCCUGAGAAAUGAUGACUAAUACUCCAUAAUAUUGGAUUGUGGCAUCACUGACUAAUUAAACAUCUAGGGGUACAAGAUGACUAUGCGUCAUAUUAGCUAGUUGGUGAGGUAACGGCUCACCAAGACGACGAUGUGUAGGGGGUCUGAGAGGAUUGUC
RNAcentral lists this ribosomal RNA (251 nucleotides) under uncultured bacterium. RNAcentral's name for it is "partial 16S ribosomal RNA". It matches the Rfam family "Bacterial small subunit ribosomal RNA", at positions 57 to 305 of the family's 1533-position model. The record is from RNAcentral.